AGUGAACGCUGGCGGUAGGCCUAACACAUGCAAGUCGAACGGCAGCACAGUAAGAGCUUGCUCUUACGGGUGGCGAGUGGCGGACGGGUGAGGAAUACAUCGGAAUCUACUUUUUCGUGGGGGAUAACGUAGGGAAACUUACGCUAAUACCGCAUACUACCUACGGGUGAAAGCAGGGGAUCUUCGGACCUUGCGCGAUUGAAUGAGCCGAUGUCGGAUUAGCUAGUUGGCGGGGUAAAGGCCCACCAAGGCGACGAUCCGUAGCUGGUCUGAGAGGAUGAUCAGCCAAACUGGAACUGAGACACGGUCCAGACUCCUACGGGAGGCAGAAGUGGGGAAUAUUGGACAAUGGGCGCAAGCCUGAUCCAGCCAUACCGCGUGGGUGAAGAAGGCCUUCGGGUUGUAAAGCCCUUUUGUUGGGAAAGAAAAGCAGCAGGUUAAUACCCCGCUGUUCUGACGGUACCCAAAGAAUAAGCACCGGCUAACUUCGUG
This 492-nucleotide ribosomal RNA is filed under the name uncultured bacterium. RNAcentral describes it as "partial 16S ribosomal RNA". It matches the Rfam family "Bacterial small subunit ribosomal RNA", at positions 29 to 507 of the family's 1533-position model. The record is from RNAcentral.